This 377-nucleotide long non-coding RNA is filed under the name Ursus maritimus (polar bear). RNAcentral describes it as "lncRNA (ENSUMAG00000013963.1)". Lineage: Eukaryota; Metazoa; Chordata; Mammalia; Carnivora; Ursidae. The record is from RNAcentral.
AGCAAGACAUGUUGAAGAUCUUGGAAGUCUCAGAGCAUCUGGUCUUACCAGAAAGUAAAUGGAAGGUGGGCCACAGUGGACUGAAGCAAAGGGUAAAACACGUUUCUCCACUGGGGCUCUCCAGACCACGUAACAGAACAGCGCUGCCAGAGAGCUACUGUCUUGACCACGAGCAGGAAGUGGCUGCGCCCCUCUGGCUCCGGGACCACCUCACCUCUGUUACGAUCUGCACCAGCAAAAUGGAUGCCUCGUGCCUACCCCUCUUCCCACACAGCUCAGAGCCUCAGUCUCUUCAUUUACAAACUGUGAGUAGCAUCUACCUCCAGGUCACAUUUAAUACAUUUCACAGCCUGCGUGGCAUAGGCACUGACCCAUAA